Molecule: long non-coding RNA, 469 nt
Organism: Bombyx mori (domestic silkworm)
Lineage: Eukaryota; Metazoa; Arthropoda; Insecta; Lepidoptera; Bombycidae
Exons: 3
Source: RefSeq, a predicted model, not a curated record
UUUAAUAUUUACAUUUUUUUGAAUUGAUAUUUUGAGUUAUCGUGGUCAUUGACAACUAAGGUGAAAAUUCUCGAGUGUCUGAUAAUUAAUAUGAACACUUGUCAAUUGUGUUUCUUCAUGGUGUUAGAUAAGAUAAGAUAAAUAUUGAAACGAAUAUAAUAAACGUUCAAUUAAAACUUAAAAGCAGUUACGUUUAACUGGUGAAGAACUAAGAAAAUUCAAUAAAAAAACAAAACCAGUCGACAUGCGAUCUCGUUCAGAAACUCGCUGGACUUGUUCCGGAUCGGAAUAUGUGGAUAUAAAUGCAUAAUAUCGUUCCCUUGUAUAGUGAGCCUUAAUGGAAAUUGUUAUGGUAUUUUAAUGUUACACUACACGUCCCUGAUGAUUUUUAUCUGACGCAACAUCAGAAAUCCGUAAUGCAAUAUAACAGAUCGCCACGCUCAAUUUUAAGAUAAAAGCUUUAUAACAA